UGGGGAAUUUUGGACAAUGGGGGAAACCCUGAUCCAGCCAUCCCGCGUGUGCGAUGAAGGCCUUCUGGUUGUAAAGCACUUUUGGUAGGAAAGAAACGUCAUGGGUUAAUACCCCGUGAAACUGACGGUACCUGCAGAAUAAGCACCGGCUAACUACGUGCCAGCAGCCGCGGUAAUACGUAGGGUGCAAGCGUUAAUCGGAAUUACUGGGCGUAAAGCGUGCGCAGGCGGUUCGGAAAGAAAGAUGUGAAAUCCCAGGGCUCAACUUUGGAACUGCAUUUUUAACUACCGGGCUAGAGUGUGUCAGAGGGAGGUGGAAUUCCGCGUGUAGCAGUGAAAUGCGUAGAUAUGCGGAGGAACACCGAUGGCGAAGGCGGCCUCCUGGGAUAACACUGACGCUCAUGCACGAAGGCGUGGGGAGCAAACAGG
RNAcentral lists this ribosomal RNA (429 nucleotides) under Acidobacteriota bacterium. RNAcentral's name for it is "Acidobacteria bacterium partial 16S ribosomal RNA". It matches the Rfam family "Bacterial small subunit ribosomal RNA", at positions 355 to 776 of the family's 1533-position model. The record is from RNAcentral. Lineage: Bacteria; Pseudomonadati; Acidobacteriota.